GCCUGGAUAGCUCAGUUGGUUAGAGCAUGGCCUGGAUAAUGCCAAGGUUGCAUGUUCAAUCCCUGUAUGGGACA
This is a non-coding RNA of Podarcis lilfordi (Lilford's wall lizard), 74 nucleotides long. NCBI's taxonomy places the organism in Eukaryota, Metazoa, Chordata, Lepidosauria, Squamata, Lacertidae. The record is from the annotation of a GenBank genome assembly.